This is a long non-coding RNA of Oncorhynchus keta (chum salmon), 2453 nucleotides long. RefSeq lists it as uncharacterized. The record is from RefSeq and is a predicted model, not a curated record. The transcript is spliced from 5 exons. NCBI's taxonomy places the organism in Eukaryota, Metazoa, Chordata, Actinopteri, Salmoniformes, Salmonidae.
GGGAGCUGUGACGUCAAUGGAGUGCAUUAGUGUGAUUGAAGUCUUGGAGAAUGACUAUUUCUGAAAACGAAUGUUUCUCCGUCUCAUAAUUUAACCCUAUUAAUUCAGUACAGUGAGUUAUAUACCAUGUGUAUGGUGACUCCAAGUUUGGAUGAUCGGACCAACGUGACUGCCAUGGUCAAGUCCCUUAACGGGUAACCAGGAAUGGUGGGAGGACAAUCUGAAGGUAAUUAUCUUUGCACACAACAGCAGCGUCCAGGCCGCUAGAGUACUCACCCUAUCGCCUGCUGUACUAACGGGAGCUGCAGCUGUUUACUGAGGUAAACAAUGCAAUUGUAUAUCAAAUGAUUGCCUAUACUGUAGUAUAUACAAUUUGUGAUUGACUUAGUGUUUUUCUAUUGCUAUUUUUGUAUAAUGUACUUGAGAUCACUGAUACUCCUCCUGAUGUGGUGGAAGUUGUUGAACCAGAUCAGAAUGCCUUCGAGGACCACCAUCAGGCACAGACUGAGAAGGAUGUGAAGAUUUUUUACCAGGGUGAGACUGAACAUGGACAAAGCUCAGGAGAAACAGAAGGAGAGCCACCGGAGGAGAAUCAAGGGGACCAAGUGCUUCGACAGCUGGUCGAAAGACUUGGCUUGGAAGAAGGACGAAAAGGAAGGCAAGACCUGGGAAAGCUUGGUGGUCUUUCGCUCCUAGCUGGGGUCACCAUCCGUUAAUGGAACGUACCUUACCUCCCCUAUCAACCCCACUGACAUAAAACAUCUGACAAGCUAAGAAAGAGCAAGAAAACUAUCAUACUGGGCACAUAAUGUGAGAUGCACAGAUCCGCUUAAAACACUAGCACUGCAAACACUCAGAACAAAGAGGGCAGCAGCGCCUGGACUUUGCAGUUUCCCUCUUCGGGUCCACCUUCCAAGACUGACUACCUGUUGAAAACAAGUGACAGGCAGAACCUCCCAUCCACAUAGCAUCCACCUCCUCUCUGUUCCACACUACAGAAUUCAGUAUUUUAGUCUGAUUGCCAUAGGGCUAUUGCUCGGCCUCCGACCGCAAGGCACUUCAGAUGGUAGUGCGUACGGCCCAGUACAUCACUAGGGCAAAGGUGCCUGCCGUCCAGGGCCUCUACACCAGGCGGUGUCAGAGGAAGGCCCUAAAAAUUGUCAAAGACCCCAGCCACCCCAGUCAUAGACUGUUCUCUCUACUACCGCAUGGCAAGCGGUACCGGAGUGCCAAGUCCAGGACAAAAGGCUUCUCAACCGUUUUUACCCUCAAGCCAUAAGACUCCUGAACAGGUAACCAAGUGGUUACCCAGACUAUUUGCAUUGUGUCCCCCCAACCCCUCUUUUACGCUGCUGCUACUCUCUGUUUAUCUUAUAUGCAUAGUCAUUUUAACUAUACAAUCAUGUACAUACUACCUAAAUUGGCCCAACCAACCAGUGCUCCCACACAUUGGCUAACUGGGCUAUAUGCAUUGUGUCCCAUCACCCGCCAACCCCUCUUUUUACGCUUCUGCUACUCUCUGUUCAUCAUAUAUGCAUAGUCACUUUAACGAUACCUACAUGUACAUACUACCUCAAUAAGCCUGACUAACAGAUGUCUGUAUAUAGCCUUGCUACUCUUUUUUUCACAUGUCUUUUUACUGUUUUAUUUCUUUACUUACCUACACACACACACACACACAUACCUUUUUCCCCCACACCAUUGGUUAUAGGCUGUAAGUAAGCAUUUCACUAAGGUGAAAUUGAUUUGACUACUACUGAAAUAAUACUAUUUCAGUGUAGAUAAGGAAAGGCCUGUUCAAAAUGAAAACAUGCCAGCCAGACAAGCCAGUGUAUGAAUCAAAUGUAUUUACAUAUGUUUGGAGUGAAAAUUAGCUGACUUUGUGAUCUGUAAGGUAAGUAACUGUGGGGAGUGGGGGCAUUUAAAUUAUAUAAUUUUUUACCCUUGAUGCCUGUUUAUUAAUAAAAGAUGGUAAAUAACAUGAAUUGCAAAGGUUAGCCUAUGCAAAUGAAUAGGAAAACAAAAGCUUAUUAACAGGAAUACAUUUAGCCUAAUUGGUAACAAAUUUGAUGUGUGGGAAAGUCAGAAUCCUAGCCAGGCAUUUGUUUGUCAAAUCUAGAUUAAAUAGAAAAGUCUUAAUGUUUAUCAAAUCUGUAUGCGAUUCUGGGCUAACUCAAUGACAAACAGCUGAAACGUUCAGGCUUCAUGAUCUGUGAUCAAAACAGGUUGGCGUGUUUUCGGUUCUGUUUGGGCUAAGGUUAUGCUUAAGAAUGCAACUGCACUGAAAUGAAUAGCCUGAUUCAAUGGCAUUCUCCUGAAUAAUAAAUAUUUUUCAUCUGUUAAACUGUUUGGUCUAUGCAUAGACCCAUACCGAUUCAUACUUUCUGGUAUUUUGCAGUAGGCAAAGCUCUAAAUUGCAGAGCAUUUAAUAAACCAACCACAUUUUCCUGUGA